RNAcentral lists this ribosomal RNA (2205 nucleotides) under Methylobacterium crusticola. RNAcentral's name for it is "bacterial LSU rRNA". It matches the Rfam family "Bacterial large subunit ribosomal RNA", at positions 14 to 2309 of the family's 2925-position model. The record is from RNAcentral. Lineage: Bacteria; Pseudomonadati; Pseudomonadota; Alphaproteobacteria; Hyphomicrobiales; Methylobacteriaceae.
AGAGCAUCUGGUGGAUGCCUUGGCGCUGAGAGGCGAUGAAGGACGUGGUACGCUGCGAUAAGCCUUGGGGAGCCGCGAACAGGCUGUGAUCCAGGGAUCUCCGAAUGGGGAAACCCCCCUUCGGCCCAGCCGUAUCCCGUGCCCGCGGGCAACCGCGGGUGGGGGCUACGGUUGGGCCCAUGAAGGGAUCAGGCCCUGAAUGCAAUAGGGGUUUGAGGCGAACCCGGGGAACUGAAACAUCUAAGUACCCGGAGGAAAGGACAUCAACGAGACUCCGUCAGUAGUGGCGAGCGAACGCGGAUCAGGCCAGUGCCUGGCAUGAGUUUACCGGAACGGUCUGGAAAGGCCGGCAGAACGGGUGACAGCCCCGUACGGGACGGACGAAUGCCGGGCCACGAGUAAGGCGGGACACGUGAAAUCCUGUCUGAAGACGGGGGGACCACCCUCCAAGCCUAAGUACUCCUCAGCGACCGAUAGCGAACCAGUACCGUGAGGGAAAGGUGAAAAGCACCCCGACGAGGGGAGUGAAACAGUUCCUGAAACCGGAUGCUUACAAACAGUGGGAGCCCAAGAUUCGUUCUGGGUGACCGCGUACCUUUUGUAUAAUGGGUCAGCGACUUAAAGUUACGAGCGAGCUUAAGCCGGUAGGCGUAGGCGCAGCGAAAGCGAGUCUGAACAGGGCGUUGUGCGAUCUUUGAUCGCCCAGUUCGUGGCUUUAGACCCGAAACCGAGUGAUCUAGCCAUGCGCAGGAUGAAGGUGCGGUAACACGCACUGGAGGUCCGAACCAGUGCCCGUUGAAAAGGUCUUGGAUGACGUGUGGCUAGGGGUGAAAGGCCAAUCAAACUCGGACAUAGCUGGUUCUCCGCGAAAGCUAUUUAGGUAGCGCCUCGCGUGUAUGCCUUGCGGGGUAGAGCACUGGAUGGGCUAGGGCCGCCCACAGCGGUACCGCACUCAACCAAACUCCGAAUACGCAAGAGCUUGCGCGGGAGACACACGGCGGGUGCUAACGUCCGUCGUGGAGAGGGCAACAACCCUGACCGACAGCUAAGGCCCCCAAUUCGUGGCUAAGUGGGAAAGGAUGUGGGAAUCCCAAAACAACCAGGAGGUUGGCUUAGAAGCAGCCAUCCUUUAAAGAAAGCGUAACAGCUCACUGGUCUAGUCAAGGGUUCCUGCGCCGAAAAUGUAACGGGGCUCAAGCCACGAGCCGAAGCUUCGGGUGCAUCGUGAGAUGCGCGGUAGCGGAGCGUUCCGUAAGCUGAUGAAGCGGCACCCGCGAGGGGCCGUGGAGGUAUCGGAAGUGCGAAUGCUGACAUGAGUAACGACAAAGAGUGUGAAAGACACUCUCGCCGAAAGUCCAAGGGUUCCUGCGUAAAGUUAAUCUGCGCAGGGUUAGCCGGCCCCUAAGGCGAGGCCGAAAGGCGUAGUCGAUGGGAAUGGGGCGAACACUCCCCAGCCAGCGGAUGGUGACGGAUGCCGUGUGUCGUUCGACCUUAUCGGAUUGGUCGGGCGGCGAAGGGGUCCCAGGAAACAGCCUCCGCGCGAGACCGUACCCGAAACCGACACAGGUGGACUGGUAGAGCAUACCAAGGCGCUUGAGAGAACGAUGCUGAAGGAACUCGGCAAUUUGCCUCCGUAACUUCGGGAUAAGGAGGCCUCCAGGGUGCGCAAGCAUCUUGGAGGGGCACAGACCAGGGGGUGGCGACUGUUUAUCUAAAACACAGGACUCUGCGAAGUCGAGAAGACGACGUAUAGGGUCUGACGCCUGCCCGGUGCCGGAAGGUUAAGAGGAGAGGUGCGAGCCUUGAAUUGAAGCCCCGGUAAACGGCGGCCGUAACUAUAACGGUCCUAAGGUAGCGAAAUUCCUUGUCGGGUAAGUUCCGACCUGCACGAAUGGCGUAACGAUCUCCCCGCUGUCUCCAGCAUCGGCUCAGUGAAAUUGAAUUCCCCGUGAAGAUGCGGGGUUCCUGCGGUCAGACGGAAAGACCCCGUGCACCUUUACUGUAGCUUUGCGCUGGCCUUCGUGUCGGCAUGUGUAGGAUAGGUGGUAGGCAAUGAAGCCCGGGCGCCAGCCUGGGUGGAGCCGUCCUUGAAAUACCACCCUUGGCGAGAUGGUGGUCUAACCGCGGCCCGUGAUCCGGGCCCGGGACCGCGCAUGGCAGGCAGUUUGACUGGGGCGGUCGCCUCCCAAAGAGUAACGGAGGCGU